Molecule: long non-coding RNA, 3198 nt
Organism: Daphnia magna
Lineage: Eukaryota; Metazoa; Arthropoda; Branchiopoda; Diplostraca; Daphniidae
Exons: 15
Source: RefSeq, a predicted model, not a curated record
UAUGAUGAAGACCAACUAGUCAUCUCUGUGAAUGCAAAAGGCUUGCUGUACCAUCACCUGCACUAUUCGUCGAUGCUUCCGAAAUUAAUAAAUUUCAUGAUUGAAUCUAUCAAGUUCAAAGGAUGGUCAGUGACUACAGUUGGGAAUGAGGUUUUCAGUUCUAAUACUAUUUCCUCCAGUAGUUCCACGUUAUUACCUCAUUAUCCUGGUACCGUGUCCAUAAAGCAAAAAGGAUGGAGUUCUUUAACUGUGUCUCCUUCUUCCUAUGGGCCUUGAUCUUCUCGUGAGAGAGAAGCUUCUAUGAUAGCUUUACGUCUUGACACAGCUGCUCCAGCACCAACGUCAUCUUGUAAAACGGGAGAUUUGGGCCACCCGCCAACUGUCAUUGUGAAGCCCUUCACAAUCGUUAUUUGUUCUCAGAAGGAGAUUGAAACAGGACCAAUGAACAGGAGUCCAAAAACGGCCUCGAAUCCAGUUUCGCUCCAUAUAGUCCAUUAAUGUCUCCAGUAUUGGUGGCACCGAUGUUCGUAAGGAGUCAAACACCGAAGAUAGGCGAGGCAAAGCAGACGAAAAACGAAGUCGCGAACAGGAUUGGGUCCUUUUUUGUUGUACUCGGUCGACAGGUUAAAAUCGCGGAUUUUCUUCAUUAUUGCCUGGCCCCAAUGGAAAUUACAUCCCAAGUGGAAGCAAGAAGGAAACAGUUUUCGGACUGCGACAAAAACUGCGCGUUCAAAAUCUGUCACAAUCCGUUCAACUCUGGGAAGGGGCAUGAUUUCCUGAAUAAGUUUUUGGAACACCGCUAUAUAGUCAAUAGCUCUUCUUCGAGACAUGCAACAGAAAAGAAGCGGCACUUGCUUUAAAUCUCCUUUCUCGUUCUUUAUUAUUCCGUUGAUGGAGAGUAACUAGUGGAAUGUCGCAUCUAGGAACCACGUCUUACAGUCCUCCAACUGUCUCUUCAUUACUUGUGUGAAAAACAGAAGAUGACGAGCUUUAUUUGUGCCAUGCCCAGCGAAGACCUCUCCUUGAAAAAAGUCUGGAGUGAAGAACUCUACGUGGAUCUAAAAAAAUGGCUCGUCUUUCCUAGGAUUAGGAGGCAUAGAUUUGGAUCUCAAAUAUCUGCAAUGAGAAAAAGCAUUACCUUAACCGCCUAGUCGCAUUUUCUACAUCCGGCAUAUCUCUCCCUGCCAUCUCCUUGUUCUUCUUCAAUUCGUCAAAAAUAAUCCUUUUGGGGGGCUUAAACUUCUCUAGCUUACUCGCUCGUGGUUCCCAUGGUCUGGCGGAUGAUUAUGAUGGACUCCACUGUUUUGAUUGUGUAACUUUUCCUGGAAGUAUUCUUGGCUGUAUUCAACAAGGUAAUUUCUUCCCGACCGAAUUUUUUGAGUUAUUAUCGCUUUGCAGGGGUCUUGAGGCCGUCGGGUUGAGCAACGCCAAGUGAAGGAUUUACCGCUAACACGUUUUUUAGUGUAGCAAUAACCUAGGCAGAAUCAAAAAUCCGUCAAUGUGAAUUUUGUACACUGGCUCCUUCGGUUCUUCAAAUGAAGAUUGCUGACAGAAGAAAACUAAUUAAUGCAGAAAUACCGUUAUAAUUUUUCAUCAAAAAUUUCUUACUUCCAAUGUUGAUUCAAUUGGUUCCACAGUUGGCUGAGCUCUUACACCAUCACUGUCGCGAUUUCGCCUUGAAACAGAUGGUUCGAAGACAUCAGAAUCCUAUAACGGUUAAGGAUAAGAACGGAGAGUUGUCUGGUUGAACGCGUCGUCUUCGUCGUGGUGGAGCAACAGGCGGAGUAGCAGUGGGAGAUCUAAGCUUGAAAGAAUUAAAAGAACAGGAGACAUUAAUAAAGAAACAAUAGGAGAAGACUGUGCCCUUGGAGAUUCUCUAUGGCAAGGAGGAGAUGGUCUUCUCUGAAGCGGAGGAGAUGGUCUUCUCUGAAGCGGAGGAGAUGAUGUUCUUUGACGAGGCGGAGAUGGGAUUCUCUGACGCGGAGGAGAUGGUGUUUUCUGAAUAUCAGCAGCAGCAGAACAAACAGGACGUCGUCUGGAUACAUGGGAAGGAUGUAGAAUCUCCGGACGCUUCACGGUUCUUUUCGGGCGAACAGAAGCUCUUGCAGUAACCGCCUCAACGUCGUUUCCAUCACGAGAACCACCUGCAACACUUGCCACUGCUUCACGGACUUCUUGACCCUCACUUGCAGACCGUGUACUAUCAGCAUCUGACAAACUAGCAUUCGCCUAGUUAAAAGAGCAGGGAAUCAUCGCUUACAUCAUCUGUACGAAUCUGUACACUAUCAAUACAAACACACUUUGCACAGCGGUAGUUGGUGGAAAAUUCUUUCCAGGUGCGUGUGCCACCUCUAGCGAAAACAAAUCCGCAACACGCACGGUGAAGUGCAACUUUACAAACAAGACACCGACAGAACUGUUUCCGACUCGAAACGACUUAAUCACAGUGAGAACACUUCGAAUCCGAAGAGAGAUCCAUGGUGAGUACUACUUUGCACAAGACUGAAACAGAGACUAUUGCCUUCCCUGAAAUGUUCUUUCAUUAUAUAGGAAGUGUAUCAUAUGGAGGAGGAGCCACAGGACGUUCCGGUGGUUUCCAUUCUGAAGUGUGUGUGCCGCUCCUUCGGGAGCUGUCAGUGGCUAUGUAAGAUAAAGGCUCCCUAGGGAAUAUGUGUUGAAAGUGGCAAAACUCUUCUGAUGGUACCAUUAAAGAGAGAGAAAGACAUCAGAUGAACAUCGAGAUCCCACCACCACCCCCCAGACCAGAAUUUGAUAGUUCUAGGGAGAAGUUGCAGAAACUUGGAGAAGGAGAGGGUUCAAUGACGGCAAAGGAAUUCAAUAAGAUGAAGCUAAAGCUAGAAGCGAAGGCUUUGGCCACAUAAAAAAAAACAGUUGCUAUGCAUGAAGUUUUCUUAAGCGGACUGGAGAAUCAUCCCAUAUUCAGAGCUGAUACGAACUUUCGUGUUUUUCUUGAAUACGAACAAGAUUUGUCCAUACGAGGAAAAAACAAAAAGGAGAAACUGUUAGAUCGUUUUCUACAACGACUGAGAGAUAUUGCUUGGGUCUACAUAAAAGGACGAUGACGAGUUUUUAUUAUAAUUACAAUCCAACACUCCUACGAUAUCCAUUUGCAUUGGUAUAAUAUACACCAUCUUGGGGAACACACCCUAAAUACAAUCAGAAAUUGUAUAACCAUGA